UUACGGUCAUCUCACGUUUAAAACACCAACUCUCGUACGAUCCUCGAAGUUAAGCAGCGUCGAACCUGGUCAGUAUCUAGAUGGGCGACCGCUUGGGAAUACUAGGUUCUGUAAG
Acanthosepion pharaonis is the source of this 115-nucleotide non-coding RNA. Lineage: Eukaryota; Metazoa; Mollusca; Cephalopoda; Sepiida; Sepiidae. The record is from the annotation of a GenBank genome assembly.